Molecule: long non-coding RNA, 35318 nt
Filed under: Eutrema salsugineum
Lineage: Eukaryota; Viridiplantae; Streptophyta; Magnoliopsida; Brassicales; Brassicaceae
Description: long non-coding RNA (ESAL_LNC001577)
Source: RNAcentral
GGGGGCAUUUUACCAGAGGUUUAGAUUGUAUCAGUGUGAUUCCUGUUGAAUCAUAUACUGCGGGGCGCAGGGCGGACGAUUUCAAAGCGGACUCCAUCUUUAAAACAAGCAAAAAGAAACAAAAGACUUAAAACCUGUUCAUUAGACAAUGAAGAUGAUUUAUGAUAUGUUGACAUGGUUUUAAUCACGUUAAGUAAGGAAGAAUAACUGACAAUACAAAACAACAACAUAUAAUCGAGGAACACUACUAUUGGUACUGAAAAAACGGAAAAAACAAUAGAAAAAAACAAAAAUUUGAUUUAUAAAAAAUAAAGACGGUAAACAAUACAACAAAAAGCCAACCAAUGUAGAAACCAAACCACAAUUGAGCUUAAGAUACAUUUAAAAAAGUAAUAUAUUUAUAUAUAGCUCUCAACUUAAGCUAGGAUUUCCCACAUCACAUGUACAUUUUUUUUUCAGAUAAUCUCGCUCAACAGAUAAUCCGAUUAACGAAUAAAAGAGAAUUAAAAAGAUUUUAUUAAUGAAUAAAGGGGAAUUAGUUACCUAGAUAGAAUGAGAGACCUUAUAGCGAAAAAUUUACUUUGCAUAUAUUAUAUAUGAUAUGAUUCUAAAUGUCUUUUUUAUUAAAUUCCAAUUUUUAAAUUUUCGUUAUUUUCUAUUUUAAAUAUUUUUGAUUAAAUUUCGAUUUUUAAUAAUUUUUAUUAAAUUUAAAUGUUUUUUGAUUAAAUUUCGAUUUUAACAGUUUUUUUAUUAAUUUACGAUUUUUAAUAUUUUAUUUAAUUACGAUUUUUAAUAUUUUUAUUUAAUUAUGAGUUUUAGUAUUUUUAAUUAAUUUACAAUUUUUAAUAUUUUUGUUAUUAAAAUGAAUUUAAAAAUAUAAGAAAGGGUAAAGGGUAAUUAGGGAAAAUUGGCUAAUUCAGACCUAAACUUUUGGAAAGUGUUAAAGUUAGGCUUGAACUAUUUUUCUGGUUAAAACAUACUUAAACAUUAUAACUAUUUGAAUUUCAUCCGUAAUCUAUGUGUAUUGUGCUUAAAUAAAUUUGUCCAUAGGUGUUAACGAUCCGUUAAAUCACGUAUAUGUGGCAUCAACGUCAGCGAUGACGUCGUUUUGGACUUAUCAAGUUUAACAAGUAAAGUACAUAAAGCGAUGUCGUUUAUAUCUUCUUCAACCCUUCGAUACUUGACAUAUCGACGACUUAGGGAUUUAAAAAUCAAAUUCUUCAGUCUUUGGAUUGUUUUUCGCAUUCAAUGUCUUCUUCUAGUAGUUCAGGUAAAUUAAAAAUUUGUCCCUCUUAUGUGUUUGUUAGUGUAUUACGUUGUGAGUAGAUUUCUUUUUUCUUUUCAUCCGAUAACUAACGCCAAUUCUUUUUUUGAAGUAAUCUCCUUCAAGCGGCACAGACAUCAGAACUUCGGAGACGUAUCAAAAUCCGGGGAGACUAUUCUAUUGUUGUCCGUAUGGAUCGAAUGAGGUAAUGUAUAGUCUCUGUUAAUUAAUUUGUUCUUUCUUUUGAUGUCAGUGACCCAUAUAAAUCGAGUCUGUUGUAUUGUUGUUAGGAUAAAAAUCAUCUGUUCAAGUGGACAGAUGUUUCUAUCGUCGAAGAGGUUGAACGCUUUCGACCUGAACUUGAAGCAUUGAAAGUAGAAGCCGCCGGAUUUGAGAAGGAGAUUGGAGAGUUAAAAGCUGAUGUCUGUUCCUGCAAAAAUGAGAUUGAAAAGCUUAAUGCAGUCAUGAGUUUCAUUAAAAAUGUGAUGGUUAGUGGAUUGGUAAUGGGUGUGAUUGUAUUUUACAUUUUCCAUUAGGAUUAUCUGUAGUGUUUUUUGCAUUUUCAAUAACGAUUAUGUGUUGUUCUAGUCUUUGGCAUUGUCAUUUUUGAGCCACAAUUCGUGUAUUUAAAUGAGAACACAAAUCUUUGUCAUUGUCAUGGUUUAGGUUCGACUGUGUAUUGAACUGUUGUUCAAUUUUGUUUCAUUGUGCAAAAUUCUCAUUGUAGAACAAAAAGAAAACCAAAAAUCAGAGUAGAAGCAAUAACAAGAGUCUCAAAAUCCAACCAAAUCCUCUGUCCGCUCAAAGACAUCUUCAAUGAAUCCACCAGAUUUUCAAACAUGGAGGCUGGACGGCUUAUGAGCGUGUUGACCUCUCCUCCAAUGUAUGUCGUUUCGUUUACCAUUGACAUCACGAACUUCCCAUUGUGAUGCACUUGAAACACAGCCUCCUCGGAACUGAAAUGAGAGUUAACAGAUUUUCAGAGUCAAAAAUUAUAUCUCUUGCCGCAAUGAUAUUAGAUGGUGAUUUAGAACCAAUACUGUAUCUAAAACCUAAACCAUAAAGCGAUCUAAUCAAAGCCUCUCAUCAAAUAACAUUAUAAAUCACACUCUAAACCCUAGCUAAUCGAUACAAAAAUAGAAAGAAGAAACACGAACUCAAAGUUUACCUCAUAUCUCCAAGCUCUAUGCAAUAAUCAAAAGCUUACACCACUUCAAAACUCACUUCUCCAAGCCCUAAGUGAUGAUUGCUCUGUUACUUUGUUUCGACGAAGAAGAAGAGAAUAUGAAAGGUUGUGUCGCGGGAUAGAAUGUGUUUUCCCCAAGUUAAGGAACAGACGACAUCGUUUUCACGUUUUUCCCAAAAAACUUAAGAAACCUUAAAUGACGACGUUACUUAUGUGGCCGCCACGUAGACCACGGCUUGACAGAAAACUUAACAGAGUUAUGUUGAAAAUUGGUUUUAGCACAAAGCAUAAAGAUGGAGUACGAAAUUCAAACUAUACCAAAGAUUAAGAAUGCCUUUCAAAUGUUAACAGAGUUCAAGUAUGACAAAGCACAGUACAUAAUGUUUAAGUAUGUUUUAACCAGAAAAAUAGUUCAAGCCUAACUUUAACACUUUCCAAAAAUUUAGGUCUGAAUUGGGCAAUUUUCUGGGUAAUUAGCUAUCCUAAAAUUGAAUGAGAGAGCUUUAACUCAAAAUUUUACUUUGUUUAUAAUGUAUAAUAAAAAUAUAAGAAGGGGUAAAGGGUAAUUAGCCACCCUAUAAUUGAAUGAGAGAGUUUUAAUUCAAAAUUUUACUUUGCUUAUAAUAUAGAUGAUAACAGUUUUUUUUUUUAUUAAUUUACGAUUUUUGAUAUUUUAUUUAAUUACGAUUUUUAAUAUUUUUAUUUAAUUACGAUUUUUAAUAUUUUUUAAUUAAUUUACAUUUUUUAAUAAAUUUUGUUAUUAAAAUUAAUUUAAAAAAUAUAAGAAGGGGUAAAGGGUAAUUAGCCACCCUAAAAUUGAAUGAGAGAGCUUUAACUCAAAAUUUUACUUUGCUUAUAAUAUAUAUGAUAUACAUUUAUUCAAUAUUACGUCAGAAAAUGUAGGGUGAUAAAUCAAAGCUCAAACUUAGAAAUAUUAUACUGUACGUCUUUUGUCUAAAAAUAUCUCUGUAUGUGACAAACACAAACAUAAACAUAAAAUGAAAAACGUAAAGACGGUCUGGUUAGUGGGUUCGGGUGGAAUCUGAAAAAGGAGAGGGGUGACGAGACUUUUGGCUUUCAGGGUUGUCGUAGAAGCCUAUCGGCCCUUUAUGCCGAAUUGGAGAGUCUUUUAUGGGCUAUGUCUUACGUGAAAGAUAGACAUAUUUUAUCUGUACACUUUCAAACCGAUUACUUGGAUCUGGUAAGCAUGUCUGAAUCUCCAUCGGAUUGGCCAUCAUUCUCAUCGGAUUGGCCAUCAUUCUUAUCGGAGUUGGAAGCCUUCCGCAUUCUCCAGAAAAGCUUCUUGGAUUUCACUCUCUCCCAUAUCCCCAGAAGUUCAAAUGUCCGAGCGGAUAGUCUUGCAAAAGGAGCUCGAGCAAAAUAACGUAUUUUCUCCCAAAUCAUUCAUACCGAACCAGUUGAAGACGGUUUCGGACCAAUCCUUUAACGGGCCAAAUGUGAUGUAAUUGUUGGGUUGUGGAAGAAAAAAAAUGAAAAACGUAAAGAAAAUAAGAGAUUGGUUAAUUUUAAUGACACCAAUGUGAGUGAUGUCCUUCGACAAUUAUCUAAUGGUCAAAUCUGUAACAAGACCAAAAUGUUGAAGUACACAUAAUUUCUCGAACGAAUUGACUUUGUUGCGAGUCUGAUGUUUAGACGACCUGUUUGGCUCUAUUAUGAAUGAGAAAGCUGAUAUGGUUAAUCUCUACGUUCUUCUUAAUUAUAGUGGCCUUGUUAGUUAAUGCCUUCAAACUUUUUUUUUUUAACGUCUGAAUUUGCAUUAACCAAAGGGGAAGAUUAGUACAAAAGCCAAAGGCUGAAAACAGAGCAUCAACCACCUAAGGGAAGGGUUUAAAGAUGCUCCUUCCAUAUUAACGUAAUAAAUCCUGCAACCAUGAAGGUCCUCCUCUAGCCAGGUAAGAAUUGAACCUGCCAUCUCGGGUGACACUUUGAGAGAUCUCCCUUGCUGCUCUAUUGGCUCCCACCGAUUCAUGUUCAAUAGAACAAAAGGUAAAACCGUUGCAUAGUUGGGCAAUAAGAGUGGUCAAAGAGCGGAAUUUCGGCCAGAGAAGAGGUUUAGAGAUUGCCUCUACUACCGAAUGAGAGUCGGAGACUAGCAAAACCUCUGUGAAGUGUAGGUCACACAAGCUUUGAAUUGCCCAGAUAAUACACCGUAGCUCCGCAAUAAUUCUGUUAGGCGAAGGAGUAAAAGCUUCUCUUGCAUGAAAGAGAACCGAGCCUUGAUGAUCUCGGACGAUCCACGCCCCACCACUGUGUAAAACUUCAUUCCUCCAAUUAGCAUGUAAGUUGCACUUAACCACGCCCAGUGCUGGAGGCUGCCAUUUAGAAUCGACAAGAUUAAAGAAAUUCUUGUUACGAUCCACCAGGCCUGAAGGAUCAUGCAGCUUCGACCAAAGCAAAGCUUCUUCUUUAGCCCUCUGUACAAUUACUGCUGCAGACUCCUGUUUGUUUGCAAAGAAUACCGAGUUCCUGUUUUUCCAUAUUUGACUCUUCUUUUCUCAACUUUAACUAAGGAUAUUUAGCAUGCAUAAUUUUUACUCAUUGUAAAACUAAAAAAAAAAAAACACAGAGGAUUUCUUAACAUGCAUGAAUUUUAGGAAAUUUUAUAAAUUUUAAGUUUAGGAAGAGUUCUACGAAAAGGAAAAUUCUUGUUCGAGGGGGUAAAUGAAUGAAUUCACUCCUAGGGAUGAACCCAAGAAUUGUUCUCUACGAAAAUGUACUAAAUCAUUCAAGAGCAUUUCCUAAACUUUAACGAAGCCUUUUCUAACAUAAAAUUUGUACUAGUUUAAAAAUUCUCUACAUUUAUGAUGUUUGUGAAAUAAAAUCUUGCUUUUAUUUUGGUAAUAAUGUACUGUAUUUCUGUUUAAAAUAUAUAGAUUAAAUGGAAAGGUGUAGUAUUAAUGUAAAAAAUUACCAGAUUCCUUUACUUAUUUAGUUCUCUCAUAACUCCCAUUUGGUUAAAUGUAUAUGCAACAACGAACCAUAAUUAGUACUUCUAGAUUUAAUUACCAUACUUAUAUAAAUAGUAUCUCGUACCCCAUUCCAACAUUAUAAAUACACCAUCUUUUCUCUUUGUCUGUCCUUCUUUAAGAUCUUUCUCUCUUAUCUUUGUUAGUGGAAACUUCAAAAGAAAGAAAGCCAAAAAAAAAAUGUUGCUUACACUAUUAAAAUCACUCCUCGUGAUAUUCGUGACCUUGAUAUUAAGAGUUCUAUACGACACCAUAUCAUGCUACUGGCUAACACCUAGGCGAAUCAAGAAGAUCAUGGGAAGGCAAGGCGUAACCGGUCCUAAACCGCGUCCUCUAACCGGAAACAUCCUUGAAAUCUCGGCCAUGGUUUCACAAUCCGCUUCCAAGGAUUGUGACUCUAUUCACCAUGACAUCGUCGGUCGCCUUUUACCGCAUUACGUCACUUGGUCCAAACAAUACGGUAUGAUCUUAUAAUCUUAAUUAUAAAACUCGGUUACAUGUAAAAUAUUGAUUAAACCAAACGUCAAUAUAUUGCUCCCUUGGCUUGAACAGGGAAGAGAUUUAUUGUGUGGAACGGGACGGAUCCUAGGCUUUGCUUAACGGAAACGGAAUUGAUAAAGGAAUUGCUUAUGAAGCAUAACGGUGUAAGUGGAAGAUCGUGGCUACAGCAACAAGGAACCAAGAAUUUUAUUGGUCGUGGUCUCCUUAUGGCUAAUGGCCAAGAUUGGCACCACCAACGUCACCUUGCUGCACCGGCAUUUACCGGAGAAAGGCUCAAGGCACGUCAAGAAAUUAACCUCAUGCACACAAAAAAAAUGCAAAGUAACUGACUGUUGAAUGACUGAAAUACCCUUUACGAUGCAGGGCUAUGCAAGGCACAUGGUGGAGUGCACGAGCAGGCUAGUGGAGAGGUUGAGGAAAGAAGGAGGAGGAGAGGUUGAGAUAGGGGAGGAGAUGCAUCAGCUCACGGCUGAUAUUAUAUCGAGGACGGAGUUUGGGAGCAGCUUUGAGAAAGGCAAAGAGCUUUUUCACCACCUCACCGUCCUCCAGCGCCGUUGCGCUCAAGCCACCCGCCACCUCUGUUUUCCCGGCAGCCGGUUGGUUUUUCUUCCUCACUCAAAAGUUUCUAGUUUUUUAUAUACCAAUGUGCUUUUCAAUUAUUAACAAUAUGCAGAAAUUCCAAAAUAUUAUAUAUGUGAAUUCGAUACCAUCGAUUUGAAUUACCGAACUAUUUAUUUUAGGUAUUUGGGUUGUGGACAAAAUAAAAAACAAUAUGCAGGAAAAAUUCCAUUAUAAUAUACCAACUAAAAUUUUUAUUAUCAUUUAAAUACACCAAUUUUAAUGUAUUAAAAAAAAAUAUUAGUUAGUUAACUAAAAGUAUACUGCUUUUUGUUCACGUAAAAUUGUAUGUGGUAAUUUUUAUUUUUGUUAAUUGUGAACUUAGUGAUUUUAGAUUUCGAAACUUAGUUUGUGCUUUGAUGUGUCAUUCCCGGGUUUCAAGCAAUUUGUUUUUCUAUGUCGAGCACAAGUAUAUAUCACCCGUUUACUCUCUAACAUGUUUUGUUUCAAAUGACUAUUGCUUUAAAGUUGACCUUAAUUAGUACAGUCAAACCUUGACUUGACAUGGAAUAUUUUGUGUCUAUAGGUUUCUUCCGAGCAAAUACAACAGAGAGAUAAAGUCUCUGAAAAAGGAAGUGGAACGUUUGUUGAUAGAGAUCAUACAAAGCCGGAGGGACUGCGCCGAGAUGGGCCGGAGCAGUACUCACGGCGAUGACCUUCUUGGCCUUCUCUUGAACGAAAUGGAUAGCCAAAAGAACAAUAAUAAGGAUAACAACAAUCUUCAGUUGAUAAUGGAUGAAUGCAAGACGUUCUUCUUUGCUGGUCAUGAGACCACCGCAUUGCUCCUCACAUGGACAAUGAUGCUCCUCGCCGAUAACCCCUCGUGGCAGGAAAAAGUUCGUGAUGAGGUCAGAGAGGUAUGUGGCUGCGACGGUCUUCCCUCGGUUGAUCAACUAUCCAAGCUUACCUCGGUACGUAUUUUCACUCUUAGCUAGAUACAUGAUAUACAACUUAUAACAUCUAAAAUAUAUUGUUCUUACCCAUUAAUUAGAACUAGAAUUCUAAACCUAAGAUCAAUUCUUCUCUUACAAAUUUUAAUUUUUUUGGUUAGAUCCAUCGAGUCAACGUAGGUGUAAAGUUAUAUUAGGUUUGAAUGGUAGCAUCUUCUGAGUAGAUUCUGAGUAGGACUCGAAGGCCACUAACUCAUACACAUAAAAGAUGAUAUUUGUUGUUUGCUCCAAUUUAAUAAGUAUAUAACUAUACAAUAUUGAAACUAAUUAUUUUGUUUGAAGUAGUAGAAUUAGCUUUAUAAUGAUGAAUUGGUGCGGGUGGGGUAUAAACAUUCAACACAGUAUAGGCAGUGCCACUAACUUCAUAGUGCUUCUUCCAUAUCUAAGCUAAUAACAUAGUCACCAAGUCGACACAGAAACCUAAUGAGUAGAUCAUAUCUUCUAGUUUUGUCUUCAUGCUUAAUCUUAGCCGAAAUCAAAUAAAAAGCGUAAUAGAAAUGUGUAGGUUUAUUGAUUUCUACAGAUGUAUUCAUUUUGAAUCAGUCGUUACAUUUUUGUAUCUGGUUUUACAUAAUUCACGUUUCGUCUUAGAAAUAGUUAUUUAAAUAAGAUAUGAUUAACAAUUGGUUAAGCUAGCUUUAAAAUUUGAGAAGAAAUAGAGGGACUGGUACAUAGAUUUUCAGGCAUAAACAAAUGGGUAAAUGAUACAUGUCUUUUGUUUAAUGAUUAGCACUAAGACAUGCUUUGCAUAAAAUAUUAUAUAUGCAAAAAAUCUGAAAUCUGUAUUAACUAAUGAUUAGAUUUUGACAGCUUCAUUGAUAGUCUUUUUCAAAAGGAAAAGUCAAUUCUCAAACUAAAAGAUGUUUGAGAAAGAGUCAAGAGGCACUUCGCAUGAUCAUAAGAUAUGAUUCCAAUAUAAAUUAAUAGAAUAUUUCUCCUAACUAUUUUGUCUUUUUUCUUCCCUUAUACCAGUUAAACAAAGUGAUAAACGAGUCACUAAGACUUUACCCUCCAGCCACUCUUCUACCAAGGAUGGCAUUUGAAGAUAUAAAACUAGGUGAUCUAACAAUUCCCAAAGGUUUAUCAAUAUGGAUUCCGGUCCUCGCGAUCCAUCACAGUGAAGAACUAUGGGGUAAAGACGCAAAUGAAUUCAACCCUGAACGUUUUGGAGGUAGACCAUUCGCUCCUGGCCGCCAUUUUAUUCCAUUUGCAGCCGGUCCUAGAAACUGUAUUGGACAAUCAUUUGCGAUGAUGGAAGCAAAAAUAAUAUUAGCGACGCUAAUUUCGAAGUUUAGCUUCACGAUAUCAAAGAAUUAUAGACAUGCGCCAAUCGUUGUGCUUACUAUAAAACCUAAGUAUGGAGUUCAAGUGAUAUUGAAACCAUUGGAUUUAUGAAGACUUUUGGGGUUAAGAGAUUGGUUUUUAAUGCCUUGGUUAAACGCUGGGAGAGGAAAGAUUUUGGGGUUUGUGAAUUUUUUGAGUAACAUGGGGGAUUUUUAUUGGAAUAAAUGCUAUACGAGAGAAUAUAUGCUAUUCUUUUUCCUCAAAAUACAUUUUCUUUUGUGUUUUUUCUUUCUUUUAUGGGUUUUACGAUAUUAUUUAAAAGUGACGAAAACAACUCAACAGCCUUCAUGUUUUUUUUUCAUAUAUGUUAAAAUAUAUAAGCUAUUUCUUAGAAUUUCUCAAAAAUAUACACGUUUAGUAAAACAUUUUAAACUGAUCCAUGGUAAAAACUAAAAAAAAUGUACAUUUGAUGACAUAAAUUUUCGCACUGAUUUCAAAACUCAUGCAUUAAAAUAUUUUUGCUAUGCCAAAAAAAAAAUGGUAGACUAAGUUGGCAUUCGAAGUGAGAAAGCUCAAAAGAAGAUUUCGAACUAAUAUUUAUUAGACUAACAAAUGAUUGUAAUUUUUUAUAGGCCAAAGCUUAUUUGUUUGAUGUUUUAAUUGAUUCAAUUGAUUCAAUAAGGACGAGUUGCAAGAUAUAAAUAAUCUUCUUAGUAAUAAAUUAAUCACAGAAAGAUAUGAAAGGUUGGGAGUCUCGCGACUGUUGUCUUUGUGUAAGGUCAUAUUUAUUUGCUUUUGAGGCUGCAAAAUGGUAUCAAAUAACCUUUUUGGCAUAUGGGCCAAAAAGCAAUUGUCCAUCGAUCCCCUUUUAUUGGGUUUAGAAAGUGAAGUUGAUAUUCAAUAUUAAUAAAAGUCAUCAUGUUAUAUUGAGAUGGGUUCAAUCUAGAUAAGCUUCUAAUAAUAACAAACAUAAAACAAGAAGUAUAAUAAUCAAAGAAACAAAAAAAGUGAUUAGGGAUGGGGGAAAAGGAGUUCAACUUUUAUUUUUGUUGGUUAAGUUUGGUGGCAGCCAUUGCACUUACAAUGACUAAGGUUGAUUCUUGCUUCUUUAUCUUAAAUAUAUUAAAAAGAAAAUGUGGUAGAAGUAAAGCAAUCGGAGUGCAUGGUAGAAAAAGAAUUUUGUAUUGUAUGUCCAUGUGUAGAAUUAGAAAAUAUUGUUAGAAAUUAUAAUAAUAUAACAUAUAUACGCGUAUAUAAAAACAUAUCGUCAUUAUAAUUUUUCUUGAACUGACAAGUCAAAAAAAAUAUCGUCAUACUGUUAGAUACGCUCCAAUAAAUAACUGGAUUGUUGUACAAAUGAUGCAAGAAAAUAUUAAAGGAAUAAUUAUUUGUUCAAUUUUCCGUAACGCAAUCAAUCCGAUGCUAAUUAGUUCUUAGUUGUCAUGAGAUCAGUUAAGCGAUCCCAUUUAGAUCUCUAUGGUCUGUAAUCACUCCGACUACUUGUUUGGAAUGAGAAUUAUGAGUAAUAGUCUUGUAUUCAUAAAAUACACCACAACAAUAUUUUAGCCAAAAAAAAGAAGAAAAUACACUACAAUAGUAUAAACUAUCUAGGAAAUGUAAAUAUUUGUUAUAACAUACACACGCGUAUGCAUCUACAUUUAAAUAGUGAUAUACUGUAUCUUGUUUGACGAAGUUAAGCAAAUAUCCUUCCAGUAUCAAAAGAGACAAAUCUUCGUGAUCAAAUAAGAUUUGGUGGAAAUGUGAAAAUGUGAAAAUGUGAAAAUGCUAUCUCAAAUAUUAUCAAAUACAAAUUAUGAGAACAAAUAUAUAGACGAUUUUAAAAUUUUGAUAGUGUAUCAACUUUUAAUUAAAUAAUCGCUGUACAAUAUUUAAGUGAAAACAAAUUGACAUGACCAACUUUUAACUCGGUCUUAGGUAGAAGUAGAAGAAGCAUGUGCCUCUAACCGCUGUAGUCGAUUCGUAUCUAUUUUACGGACUAGUUUUUGUACAAUGUACCUAUUAGAGAUCAAAUGUUGCUAGUUCUAUUGGAAAUGAGACAAGCCUAUCUCUUUUAGGGAUUCAAAACCCUUAAAUAAAGUUAAAUAUUUUCCAUAUGUUUUUGUACAAUGUAGACCGGUUUUGUUCUCAGUGAACAUUACACUAACAGUGAGCACACCUUCUUCUCAUGUCAAUAUGCCAAAGAAGUCUGGCGUUUAUCAGGAAUGCCUCUGCAUAUCCUCAAGAAUCGAAAAUUUUCAUUGGAAGACAAAGUACGAUACUUGUUCUCUCUACACCGGAAUAGUUGUCUCUGAAACAAACCUGAAACUUCCUUUUUAAGUGCUUUGGAGGCUAUGGAGAAGUCAAAAUGAUCUCCUAUUCAAUCAUCAUAAUAUCACCGAAGUAGAACGAUAAAGAGAGCAACUGAGGAUGCGAAAAAAGGGAUCAGCAGAUCUCCUCCAACGGAGACAUCAUCGUAGACACCGGCCAUAGGACUAGACAAGAGCAAAGUCGAUGGAUAAAACCAAAUAAAGGUUAUAGGUUAAGUGUAAUUAUAUAUGAUGCAUCCCAUUAUGAAGGUAAUCAAAACUCGGGACUUGGAUGGAUUCUUCGAUAUAGCAAUGGAACUUUCUUAGACUAUGUAUGGGUAAGUUUCAAGGGAGAAACACAACUGAAGAAGUAGAAUGUACAUCAAUUAUUUGGGCUAUGCAAGCAACUUGGGCCCUCGGAUAUUGAGUGGUAGAGUUUGAAGGUGAAUAUUUGAAUAUCAACCGUAUUAUCAACCAGAAAAUUACAAACCUUAAACUUCAGCAUUAUAUGGAGGCAAUCAACCGGUGAAGCGAUAUGUUUAAGCAAGACAAAAUUUCCUUUAGGCAUCGUGAGUUGAAUACAUGCGGUGAUAUAUAUGCUAGCUAGGAAAUCAAUCUUGGAUGUAACUCUUUGGUCAAUGUAUCAUUGUUGCCCAAAUUUACUAUAUCCUCUUGUAAACAAAUAUUGUGAAUUUGUGAUUUGCAAAAUCAAUAAAGUUCUUUGUCGGAGGAAAAAAAAAUAAGACAAAUACAUAAUUUAUUUUCAUUUUGGCUACGUUAGAUAACAUAUGCAUGCAUAGUGAGGCUUGAACCUCGAACUUGAUGCAAUAUGUGAACAUCCGUAAGAGGGUACCAGUAAUCAGACAUUAGUAAUCUUGUUUGUAAUAUAGAAAAAUGUUUCAGGUCUUGAUCCUACAAUUUUUUUUCUUGAAACUUGAAAGCUUUAGCUUUUGGUUCAUGUGCUAUAUUAUAUGUAGUACAAAAAUUUGGAUAUCGUCCUAUGCUGGGCUUUAGCGGAAAUAUUGAUUUAUGAGCUCGACUAUUGAGCCCAAUUAAGUGUAUUUUUCCGAAGCCUAUUGAUAUUAUCUGCAUAUAGAGAGACUAGGGUUAGCUCUAUGUAUGCAUGUAAUUUUUUCAAAAUGGACUUACAUACAUUUAAAGUUUUUCAUUUAUAUAAUAAGAUACAUGUAUAAAGAUGCUUUUGAUAAUUUGUUACAAAGGUUUCGCUUCCACAAUUCAGAAGAAAACCCUUUUUUUUUGCUUAACUUAAAACAGAUUUCUAAUGAUUACUUCCACUUGUAUUCUAACUUAGGCGUUUUUUUGCCAUGUGUGAAGUAGAUCCCAUCUUCUCUAGCAUCCCAAAAGUUCUUUUUACCAUAAUGAACUAUGAGACCACCACCUACAUAUCCCGUAAACCCUGCAUGGAACUUGAAAUUAGGUCCUUGCCAUAGAUCACAAAAGAAUUCUGUUUUCAAAACACUAUCAUGAAAACUGAAAUCGUAGGUUUCUCCAGGUCGCAAAUAGUGGAAGCCUAGAUUGUCGUCGUUCGAUAUGCAAUUGAUCUUCAAUAUAUUGUUCCGGCCUAGAGAAUUUUUAAAGAAUACAGAGUUUUUCUCAUUCCACUUUGCGUUACUCAAUCCCAUGCACAAUCCAAUAACGAGCAGAAAACACGAGAGACGAUUCAUUGUUUUGCUCUUCCUUGUUCUACACUUCGUUUAGAUUUAGAAGUAAUUUUUGUAGAUAAUUAGAAGGGGCAAUGUCUUUUUAUACUCUUUUUUACAUGGAUAUUCAUUCUAGCUAUUUUUAAACAUCUUUGUUUUGACUAAUACGAAUCCGGUUUUGCUGUUUUUCUCUUGUCCUUAUCGCUUUUACUGUUUUUGCAUCUAAUUAGGCCAUCUCCAAUGGUUAGCACCUUAAGGAGUGCUUAACCAUUUUUAAAUUAGUAUUUUUGAAGUUUUGUUGUUUAAGCAUUUCUUUUAAGAUGUUAUUUUUUUUCAGGGUCCAAUGGGAGGUGCUAAAAAGGGGUGCUUAAAAAAUUUUUUUUUUAGUUUGAAUUUGCGUCUUCUUCUUUGAUCGUUCUUGUUGUUGUGUCUUCUUCUUUGAUCGUUCUUCCUGAUACCUAUCUUCCAAUGUCUUUGGUUUAAGACUGCAUUGCCUGGCAACAGCAGAAAAAAUAUAUCAUCAAUACAGAUAAGGAAGAUAACCACUGUAUAUAACAAAACCGCUUUUUUCAUACAAACAAUCUGAUCCGAUAGAAUAAUAGAAGCCCCAUCGCCAAUAGCUUCCGGGUAUAUUGAAUGUUAAACCUAUUCUCUAACUCAGAGUGUGAGCAAUAAAGCAACCACUAACACAUAAUGAAUUUGAAAUUGGACCAUCUAUUAAGUACAAAAAGCUUCAGACUCGACGCGGAUAUAACAAACAUUGUUUCUGUUAAUUUGCACGCUGAUACAAUCAAACAAAAAUCAACCACAACACUCUCUUUUUUUAUAGUCAACUAUCAACCAUGAUACUCAAAGCACCAAAUUGCAGAAAAUCCAGAAACAAAAACCCGUAAGCAAAUCCAUUCAUCGGUCAAAAAUCAAUGUUGUCGAAAAUUACAAAAACCUGUAAUCAAAUUUGGUUUCUGAAAUUUGAUUUCCCAACUAACCAAAAUCUUGCUGAGUCUUUGCACUGGUGAGUCUUUGUUUCUGUUGAAUCGGCGGAAUUAGCUGCUUCGACGAGGGAUGAUAUCUCUGAACCAUCGAUUGAUAGAGUAAACAUCAACCUGGGUUUCUCGCCGGAAAAGUGAUGAUAACAAAGGAUUUCUUGCCGGAAAAGAUGGGGAAUAAGCAUGCAUGAAGAUCAAGCUGGGUAAUCUCUCAAUCGGCUCUCUCAAUCGCCAAAAGAAUCGAAGGUCGGCUUUGGAAACAGAAGGAGAAAAAACGACUUGGGACAAAAACGUGAUCGGUGAAGAACAAAGGAAAAAAGGUUAUCCUGCGUGAAAAAAAAAGAAAAAAAAAGAAAAAUUUUAGACCAAUGAGAAUUGAGCACAUCAUCGGUGCUUAAGGGUGCUUAAGUUGCUAAUAGAAGCAUCGAUGCUAAGCUUUUUUUCUAUUAAAGAUUUAUUUUUAAUCUAACUUUUUGAUUAAGCACUCUUUAAGCACCUUCCAUUGGAGCUGCUCUUAAAGAGUAACUAGUUAACUUUCUCGCGCCUUGCGCGGAUUGAUAUAAUUUCCAUUUGAUUGUUUGAAAAUGUAAUAGUAGUUUGGAUUUAUUUAUUUUUUUAUUCUUGAGUAUAUUUGUUUGUUAGUUUUUUUUUUGCAUUUUAAUAUUGGAAGGCAUGAUCGUGAAGACAAUAUAGAAUAGAAGAGAGUAAAUAAAAGCAUAGUAAUAUCCAAAUAAUUUAGUUUAAAUAGUUUUGAGAUAUUUUGAUUACUGUUUUAUGUAUUUUAGACGUAAUUUUUUUAAGGUUCGUAUGAACUUAUUCAAUUUUGAUCACUGUUUAAUGUGUUUUAAACAUCAUAAAUACCUUCAUUCCAUUAGUUAGAUAUAUAGAUUUUCUUUCUUUUAAACUUUUUUGUUAGAGUUUUUUUUUUAAUUUCUGUUUUUGUUUUGUUUUGAAACGACAUUCUAUUACUUUUUAAAUAGUUUUCAUUUUUUUUCUUUUAACAUUUUUGUUAGAUUUUUCUAAAUUUUAAAAACAAAAGAAAUGGUAAACACUAAGAAGUAUGGAUUCUAUUUUUUUAUAAAAAAAAAAUUUUUGUUAUUUUUUUUUUAAAUUUCGGUUAUAUAUAAUUUUAAAAACGGUUUCAUUGACCAUGAAAUUAAAAAUUAAACCAUAUUUAGACUUUUUUAAAAGGUUUUUUACACAUCAUCAUAUAAGAACCAAUAAAAAAAUGACACAUAAUUGCAAAAAGGGCUAAACGGUCUGUUUAUAGCCGAAAUUUAUUUAGGAGUUGACACGUAAGCGAAAAGCUGUGAAACUCGCUGUAAAACGUUUUUUUUUUAAUUCUUCUAAAUUUUGGUUUUAUAUAACUUCAAAAACGACACUCUAAAGCUUUUUAAAUAGAUUCAAUUUUUUGUUUCUUUUAACAUUCUAAAUUUUAGAAACAUAAGAAAUGGUAAACACUAAGAGAUAAUUUUUUUUUAGAAAAACAUUUUUUUUAAAAAAAUUUCUAAAUUUCGGUUUUAUCUAAUUUUAAAAACGGUUUAGUUGACUAUAAAAUUAAGCAUUAAACCAUAUUAAUUUAAACCGGUUCGUUUUGAGUUUUUUUUUUUACACAUCAUCAAUUAAAAACCAAUUAAAAAAUGACACAUAAUUGCUUAAUAUGGUUAAACAGUUUUUUUGUAGUCGAAACUCAUUCUAGAUCAGACACGUAAGCGAAAGAUUGUGAAACUUGUUGUGAACGCGACACGUAAGCAAAUCAGUACACAAAUAAGUAUAUAGAUGAUUUGGAUAUAUAUAUAUAUAUAUAUAUAUUUUUUUUUGGGGUUAAAUGGAUAAAAAAAAUUCAACAUUAAUUUGUGAUAUGCGUCAAUGACUAUCUUUAUAAUGUAAAAAAUCUUAAUAGAACAAAUAAACGCUUUCAUUCCCAUUGUAACAUCAAGUGGUUACGCAAAACAUUUGGGUUUGAAUGGUAACACACCGAACAUAAUGGCAAUAGCUUCCAACUUGCGGAGAACUGGUUCUUAAAGACUUUUAAGUUGCUUUCCGGUUGGGUCGUUUUAUCAUUAUUUCUUUUGUUUCUUCGGUUUUAAGAAUGUUAUCAUUGCAUCUUGACAUUGUGAGUUGAAAAACUCAUGGUUUAGUCGAUGGACUGAAUUUCGAGUUGUUUUUUGUUUCCAUGUUUAAUUUUUUUUUUGCCAUGAGACCAAUUUCAUUGGUUAAAGCAUCUAUAAAAUCUAAACCGUUCAUUUUUAAUGAUAUUAACAUCUUAGCCAAAAAAAAUAAAAGCAAUAGUGGCAAUAGAGUUCCUGGAUUUGAAAUGACAACAGUGGUAUUAUCUCAUAUCAUCUUAACUCGAAUUUUUUAGUCCUCUGUUUUUUACUUUCUUUUGUUAUGUUCCUAAAUUUUUUUUUACUAUUCUUCUGUCUUCUUGCUUUAAGAGUGUACAUGGCCAUUAACGCUCUCAUAACUCAUAAGUUAUAAUAGUGACGACCUUUGAUUAUAUCAAUAAUAAAAUUUUCGAGUAAUGUGUAACGGAACAUUGUGAACUUAUAAACCGAUUCAGACUAAGCCCAAUUAAUUGUAUAUAAUAAACAUAAGGUCCAAAAACAUUAUAAUGUAGGUCAUGCGUCUGAUUUCUUUUCUCCCAAAAGGAAGGAGACAAAACCCAUAUGGCUCAAGUGGAGACCAGUAACCAUACACAUUCACUCAUUUUCUUACAAGAAAAGAUAAGAUAAUGGAAUUUUCUGACACGUGGCCUUAUCAUAGUGGUCCGUGACGAUAAGGGUGUCAACACCUUUCCUUAAUCCUGUGGCAGUAAACGACGUUAUCAAGAAUCAUGGACCCUUUGAUCAAUAGGGCUUUUUGCCUCUAGCCGUUCUCACUAUAUAUAUAGAUGAGUAAAGCGAUAGACAAACAAGUAAGUAAGAGAAAAGAGCAAAAGAAGAAGAAGAAGAAGAAAUAGUAAUGGCUUCCUCUAUGCUCUCCUCCGCCGCUGUUGUUACUUCACCGGCUCAAGCCACCAUGGUCGCUCCAUUCACCGGCUUGAAGUCAUCCGCUGCAUUCCCAGUCACCCGCAAGACCAACACCGACAUUACUUCCAUCGCAAGCAACGGAGGAAGAGUUAGCUGCAUGAAGGUAAUUAAAUGUCACUAUAAGUUCAUAUAUAUAUAUAUACGAAAUCGAAGUAAUAUUAAUUGGAAAUGUUAUUUAUAGGUGUGGCCACCAAUUGGAAAGAAGAAGUUUGAGACUCUCUCUUACCUUCCUGACCUUACCGAAGUUGAAUUGGCUAAGGAAGUUGACUACCUUCUCCGCAACAAGUGGAUUCCCUGUGUUGAAUUCGAGUUGGAGGUAAUAAAAAUCGAAAAUCAUAUACAUAAAUAUUUAGAGUAGCUUGACCAUAUGAAUCUUGCAACGAUCUUAAAACUGUUUAGAGGUCCUAUGCAGAAUCUUGAUUUAUAUGUACAUAUUUGAAAUGUUCUUGAAUGGUUUUUGUAAUGUGUUUUGUAGAACGGGUUUGUGCACCGUGAGCACGGAAGCACUCCCGGAUACUACGAUGGACGUUACUGGACAAUGUGGAAGCUUCCUUUGUUCGGAUGCACUGACUCAGCUCAAGUGUUGAAGGAAGUGCAAGAGUGCAAGAAGGAGUACCCCCAGGCCUUCAUUAGGAUCAUCGGAUUCGACAACACCCGUCAAGUCCAGUGCAUCAGUUUCAUCGCCUACAAGCCACCAAGCUUCACCGAUGCUUAAGUCACUUUCUCUUAAAUCAUUCAUAUAAUAUUCUCAUUUGCAUUUCCAAUUGUCUCUGUUUCUUUUUUUCUUGGAUUUCUGUUUCUGAGACAUUUUCUAUCGAUCGGAUUGUCAAAAUGUCUGAUUUAUGAAUAUGUAAUUUAUGUUUCCCUCUUCUCCUUCUUGCUUAUUUUCUGAUGGUUAUUAGUUUUUAAAAAAUUACUGGGAUAAGGAAACAGACAAAAUCACGUCACACAAAGAAAGGUUGGAUAGUGUUAGUGGUAAUUUGUUAUAGGAAUAGGAAAACAUUAUUACCUAAAGAGCUUAGAUUUCAUAUGAAUAAUUAGUUCAUCAAAUAUUCAAAUAAGAAUCAUUGUAUCAUUUUAUUUUUGGAUGUCACAAUCACACAGUAUAAUAUGUACUUGUAGAUUUAUUAUAGAUUUCAAUCAUUUCAUAAAAUAGUCAUCUUUUGAUGUUUCACACUUCUUACGUGGAGUUUAUGAUAUGAUUUAUACCUAUACUCCAAAUUACUGGUAAACUAUCAUUGGAAUAUACGAUACACUAUAUAUACAUAUAUAUCAUAUAUAUAUAUAUUUACUCUAGAUACUAAUGACAUAUGUCAAUAGUUUUAGUAUGAAAAGCUAACUUGAGUUUUUUUUUUUAAAUACUAUUAUAGUAAAAAAAAAUUAUAGAAAGAAUGUAUGUAAAUUCCAGUUCAUACACGGAUUUAAUAUUUCAAAGGAAAGGAUGGUCCACUUGAAAUCUGUGAUAGACACUUUUGUGGACGGUGCAAUACAUAAGAUAGGCUUGUGGAUAAGAGUGAAAAUUCCCUUCUAUAAUUUUCUUAGUGAUCUUUAAUCCAUGCGAAUCAUGCGUGUCAUUCUGCUAUUAGUGUAUAGUAAGUUCAUCGACUUUAUGAAACCGUAAGAAAUCGUCAAUUUAGUUAGUUACGAAAACAUGUUUUUAAUGACUCUUUCAUAAAAUUUUGGAUUUUUAGUAUAAUAAGUUAUUGGUUGCUAGCGAAUGCAUAGAAAUGCACAAUGUACUCAAAAGAUUGGAGAUAAAACAAAAACUCCAAAUUGACUUAGUAAGGCCAAAAAUGAAAUAUAAAAUCAUAUUAACAAAAAAAAGGGGAAAAUAUGGCUCUUUGGUUCUUAUAUAUUAAAUGCAGGCCGAAAAAAUAGAUGAACGUUUAAAGUCUGUAAAUUAAAAUGGAAAUGAAAAAUUGGUUUAUUGUUCUGGAGACGCAAAAAUUUAGUGUAUUAAAAUGGUAAUAGAAAUUUAGUUUUUAUAUCAUUAUGGAGUUUUCUAAGUCCUUUCGCGAUUAUCACUUCCACAUCCGGUUCUUUACUUUUUGCUAGAAUGUCAGUGAACCUAAAAUCUACUGCAUUGAUCAUGCAUUAACCAUUAAAUGACAUCCAAAAACAUAUGCUGAUCUUUUGGCCAUUAAACGAUUAAACGGUAUACUUAUUAAGUUUAUCAAGAAGACAAGAGUGAGCGGCCAUUACACGGCACCCAAUAUAAUGAUGUCUUUACCAAUCACGUACAUCAUGCAUGCCUUGUAAUGAAUACUACUCCCUCUGUUCAGAAUUAUUUGAUGUUUAAAGUUUUUGCACACAGUUUAAGGAUUCAUUUAAUUUUUAUUUUUUCUAUACUAAAAAAUAUAAUUUAUAAUCUAUUUAAGUAUCAUUCAGCCAAUAAAAAGACAUUCUGCAAAAUAUAAAAUGUCAAAAAUUAUAAAAAUUCAAUAAAUUUUGCAUUAAAAAGUGAAAACAUCAAAUAAUUCUGAACAAAAAAACCUUCUAAAACAUCAAAUAAUUCUGAACAGAGGGAGUAUUAUUUAUAACAUGAUCUAACCAUUAGUUAUUUACAGUCCAUUGAUCCUCAUCCCACUAACAUUUCGAAAUAUUAUACGAAGUAAAACUAUAUUUCUGAUUCUGUUAUAUAAUAUGUGUUGUACUUUUUAAGUUCAUGUCUAAUUAUUGUCUGUUUUGGAUUCAAAUGGUAAAAUCCAUAUGAAUAUAUUUUUGAAUUCCUUCCCAAAAUGGGUUUUACUAAUUACUAUUAGACAUAAUUUAUAUAUUAGAUAUUCUUUGUCUAAAUUUCAAAUGUGAGAUCUUAAAUUAAUUGAUUCCCAACAAUCAUUUUCUCAAAAACCAUGGAUCACACAAACCAUUAGCCUCCAACCUCUAGUGAAACCUGGGGCAUCCAUCUUGUACUACCGUAUGCACCAACAAAACUCUUCACAUAAUCUUUACACAACCGUUAGAAAUAUUUUUCACACAAGGAACCGGCACCCCUAAUCGCGAGGUCAUCAUAAAUGUUUUUUCUCCCACAACGAAUAUUCAGCCCACACCCACUUGUCUAAGUCCACAUUUUCCAAAACCUCCAUCUAAAAACCAAUUCUUGGGCUUUUUAAGUCCAUGCCCAAGUAGCAAAUCUCGCAUGGAUAUGUUUUUGUACCCCUUCCCAAAAAGCCUCAUACUAAUUACUGUUGGACAUUGCUUAGAUACCGAAUAAUAUUUGCUUAAAAAUUUUCAAUGUGGGAUUUUGGAUUGAUUCCCAACAAUCAUCCUCUUAAACCAAGGAGCACACAAAACCUUGGCCUCCAACCUCCAUCAAAACCUGGCACCCAUCUUGUACCGCCGUACGCACCAACAUAAUUCUUCUUAUAACUCUUGUGAAACCGUUAGGAAGACUUUCGACAUAAUAACCGACAACCCAUAAUUGCAGAAUCACCUUGAGGGCUCUCCCUCCUACAACAAACAUCUAGUCCACACCCACUUGUCUAGGUCCAUCUUUUCUAAAACCUCGCUUUUAUACUUGUUGUAACAGAUGCAAGAAGAAAACAGUAAAUGUAAAGAUUGUGCACAGAAUCAACGUGGUUCACCAAUGAUGUGUUGGCUACGUCCACGGGCAAAGGAGACUAAUUUUAUGAUGGAGACAUAAAGUUUCAUAAUACAUCAGAAAUUAGGGUAACAUGGUUACUUAUAGCAGAAACCCUAGUUAACCCUAAUCGUAAUUGGGUUCUCUCACUUAGGCUCAUGUAGGAACCUUCAUGCACAAACACCAGCCCAAGUGCACGCAGACUUCUACAUUGCUAACACUGGUUGUAGUCUUCAAUUACACAACAUGUAGAUCUCAACAUCAGCUUCUGGAUGCAGAACGUUACAUUCAACUAUUUGCUCAAACAGAUUGUAAGCUUUAGUGCAGCGUGUAAACCUACACACACAACCUCAAGAUGCAGCAUGUAAGCUUCAACAUACUGCAAGUAUCCUGCAUGCUGCCAGCAUGCUUGAUCGUGCAGCCUGCAUGCAUCUGCAGGCAUCAACACCAGGAAGCUUCUAUGCUUCAGGAUUCAAGACAUAUCAACAAAUCUCCACCUUGACUGGAAUCCUCCAAGAAGCUUCUACGCAUUAGGAUUUAAGGUGUAUCAACAAUACUAAUUUUUGGGUUUUUCAAGCCUAUGUUCAAUUUCCCGUUAGUAUGAUAUUGUCCGCUUUGGGUCCAAGUGUCAAAAUUCGCAUGAGUUUGUUUUUGGGUUUCUUCCUAAAAAGCCUCUUACUGAUUAUUAUUGGACAUGACUUAUAUAUUAGACACUGUUUAAAUUUCAGAUGUGGAAUCUUGGAUUAAUUCCUAACAAUAUGUGGAAACAGAGAAGUAUCCAUGGUGUUCACAGUUCAGAGAUAUUUAACUAUUAUAAUUUCAUGUGUUUCACCCCAAAAACAAAUUGAUAAUGAAUGUAUUGGCUAAUUCCCUUGUAUAUCACUUUAAUUUGUGUCAUCUUACUUUAAAUGUGAGAUUUUCGUAUAUGGAUUGAGUAAUGAUUUUUAUGAUGUGAUCAGAAGUUUUAGACAAGCCAUUGAUGCUUAGGAACCCUGUACCUCUCGUACCAAACAAACCAAUGACGAGGAACCAUGAGCAUAGCUUAUAAAUAGCCACUAACCAGUAUGUGUAGCACCUAAUGGAUGAUGUCAAGAGGAGCCAUACCGUGCCAUCCUUGGCCCAAUUGAUUGUGGACGGAGACGAUAAUUCCCAAAAAAUGGAGCAUACCAAAUCUUGGUAAGUCCAGACCAUUGAACAGGCCCACCAAGAUCAAAUAUCAGAUUAACGUAGCGAGGGCGAAUGUGAUCCUUUGAUGUAUCUAGAUAAUAAAUCAAGUGAAAAUUCCUCAGACUAACGUUUAAGGUUAAUGAAAUGACAAACCUAACCUAACAUAUUGAAGAGCUUACUAGACUAACCUUAUAAAGUUGGUUUAGGUCCAUUUUAUCCAGAUGUUGAAUAUUAUUACGAAAAUGCUAUUAUGAUUUUUUUUUUUAUAAAUUUUUUUUUUUUCGAAAAAACUUUAAUUUCGAAAAAAUUUUUAAAAAAAACUCGAAAUUUUUUUUGACGAAAAAAAAACAUUUUUUUAAAACGAAAAAAGCAAAAAAAAAAAAACAAAACCAAAAACUAAAAAAAAAGAGUUAUAUGAAUAUCUACCUAUAGAUAACUCGAAAUUAGUUUGUCAGAAUGAACACUGCUUUAAGCGUACUGUUUAGAAUAACUAUCCCACAUUACCCCUACUCUGACGUAUCUGGAUAGGGUCUGCGAUAACUGUUAUAACACGUUUAGCAGAUUUAGUUGUCGCAGUGGACCCCUACAUUACUGGCGUUUAUUGUUGCUUUAGGCAGAGAAAUUCUCGGGAAGAGUGGGAACUUUAAAUUUUGAAUGUUAAAUAUUUAAAAUAAUCUGGAAAAUAAAUUUUCAGGUUUGGGUGGAAGACGAGAAAUUUCCUACGCUAGGGUUUGUAAUCUCCAUUCAAUACCCAUAGAUAACGGCGAAAUUGUGAAGAAUUUCAUUCCCACCAAACGAUGGGUAGUUCUGACCACAACGAUGACGAGGAAACGCGAUCAGAAUCCAUGUCCGAAGAGGUAAAUUUCGAACGAUUAGAUGUAGAAUUACAGUUCAUUCGUUUUCGAGGUUUAGGUGAGUGGUUAGGGGAAUUGCAGUCCGAUUAACUCAUGAAUCGUAAUAUCCUGUAUAGAUGGCCGACUCUGGUCUUCCCCAACGGAUCUUCAUCCCUGAAGAAGUCCCCAAGGGAGACUGUGUGAACAUUUACCAGAAGAUGACGGUUAUAUCUGACAUCGAUGCCGCUUUGAGUCAGACAGAGAGGGAUUUUAUGAAGGCAUCUCAGUUUGGAAAACUGUUCGAGUUUGCAAACCAGCCUGCUUGGUCCGGCGCAUUCGGUUUGUUCACCCUCACCAGACUUCUUGACGUGAAGAAAGAAAACGAGAUCUGGCUGGUAUUUGCAGGGAAACCGAUUCGAUUCUGAAUCGGGGAGUUUAAAAUAGUGUCCAGUUUGAAAUGCGGGAAAUACCCAACAAGUCAGAAGAAAAAAAGGAGACUGCAUGUUGUUCCCGAGUACUUCAAGACUCUAUUCGGUGAUGAGAAGGAAGUCCCAGUGGAACGACCAAUCGAGAUAUUGCAGAAGAAAACUAGUUUAGAGACCCGGUUGAGACUGCGAUACGCGUGCCUUGCCAUAGUGGAUGCCUUUCUAAUGCCUUCUGUUCAUUUUUCUCGGUCAAAGGUGAGCAUGGAUCACGCCGAGAUGGUUGAAGACCUUGAUGCAUUUCUGCAGUACCCCUGGGGCCGGUUAUCCUUUGAUGUAAUGAUGAAUUCGAUAAAGGGCAGGAAUUUAGCACAGAUUUUAACAGCUAACAUUACUGUCGGAGGUUUGUUCCCUGCCUUACCAAUGGUUGUUUUAGAGGCCGUCCCUGCCAUUCAAGAAGAUGAUGACUCAUCUGAUGGGGAAGACAGUAGCCCAAGCAGGGGCGGUGCUCGCUUGCGUCCGCAGAAAGUUCAGCUUCAGUUGAAUAAAGCUAGAGUGCUUGACGAAGAUGAAAUGGUACGAAGUAAACCCUCUUAACUUGCUAAAUAUGUUACAAACGGUUUACUAGUUAACUGUUUACAAUUGCGAUAACUCUAUUAUCUUGCUUAUAAUGAACUUGUAUGCUACUAUAUAUUUGUUAGCUAUGAGACUUAAAUUAACCUGUAACAACUACGCUCUAGGUUUAGUAAAUUACUGUAUUCAACUGAAGUUGUCCUCGUUGGAACUGAUACUUAGCAGUACUAAGUUAUCAUUGAUAUAUAUGAGUAAGUUGUUACAUGAUAACAGGAUUUGAUGUGAUAAUCUGGAAAUGUGUUUAGUGUAUCGGAUAAUUAGUUUACCAUGUAACUGUUGGUAAUUGUAGUGUAAGUUAUCAUUGUUGGAUAUGAAAUUCACAAUUAUUCACUAUAUCGGUGUUAGAUUCGAUAUAGUGAUUCGAUCUUAACAAGAGUUGAUGUGCUCACUCUGAGGGAUUAGGCUCCUUUUUUGAUAAGUCGGUUAACCUGUAACAUUGUUUGGUUUAAUACUCAGUUAACAUGUAACAUUGGCCUGUUGCUGUAUUAGUUAUAGUGAUUGUUUAUGAUAAGUUACAAUACGUACGAUAUCAUUUUUAGAUAUGAUAAUAUAGUUGCCUGAUAACAAAAUUUGCAGUGUGUAUUCAGGGUAGCAUGUAACAUUUAACAGUUAGCGGCUAACAUACGUUUAUAAUUAUUGCGUUUGUCAAGGUCGCGGUUAACUCUAUCAUUCGGCCUGAUUUCGAAAUCAGCGACGGCGAGGAGGAUCUAUCCUGGAGCGAAGAUGAACAUGACGAAAGGGUCGACCAUAUGAUUACUCUUAUUAAUCAAGGAUUCGAAUUUAAGUCUGAAAUGUUUGGCCCUGGCAUUGAUCCUGAGUUUUUAGCAGCUCGUACAAGUUCUCGAAGGGGUGUUAAGAAGACAAAGAUUGUUGUUGGGAAGAAAGGUAAAGGGAAGAUGAGAAAGUCUGGUAGAAGUCGAGUCACAAACGUUGCACAUGACACUGACAAAGGAGUUAUGUUUUUUGAGGAGAAGUUGAAGACAAUGGUUUCAAAAAUCGUACAAGAAAAUAACAAGAAGAUAGAACAUAUGUUUGAAGCCAACAAUGUGAAGAUAAUUAAGGGUGUGACCCAGUGGUUUCUUGAUAACGCAGUUAUCGACCGCGAGGUCAAUAUAUGUCCAUCAUUCUCGGGCCUUAGCGCCGGUAAGUCAAGGUCUCGCAAGCAACCCCCUCCGAGCACUGCAAAUAAAUCGGGGGAAUUACCUUCGGUCCAAUCCGGAGCGCACCCUGAUGGUCAGGCCAAACAAAACUGCGACACUUCAUUUCCUAACUUAGACUUCUCCUCCAUGCCGACGGUUGACGAGAUUGUUUCCACAUACGCUCCCAGAGCUGAUGAUGCCACCAACACUGCAAGAGUUGGUAAGGGUACCGUUGACCCCAUAGGGGAAUGCAGUGUCGACGCUGUUGAUGGUGAGCAGGUUAUGACGCAUAACCCAGGCGAUGAUGGUGUCGUUUUGUCAGAAACCCGGCCUGAGAAGGUAGAAUUGUCAUGCCAAUUUAUCGGAAAACAUAGUGGGUGUCUGUAUAACGUAUCCAUAUUAAUGUGUUUGAUAGGACAAUGAUGGCGCCUCUCUCCCUCAAUUCAACCCACAAAAUGACGUGCCGAAGUCGUCAGAUGGUGUGAAUUUGCAGGAGGAGGUAUUUGCUUUAAGUUUUAGCUUUAAAUUUGAUGUUUUUUAUUUGUUCACUAUGCUCUAUUAAUCCGUGAAAAUAAUUACAUAGGAAAACCCUGAACAUGACGAUCCCUUGAAAUCAGGCCCUAAUUAUGUGCUAAUCCCCCCGGUGGGAGAGAACUUUAUUGAUGAGGUACAUGUUCCCGUUAUUACCCUAAAUUAUAGUCUUUAUAACCGUUUAUUAGACGCUAUUCUAGUUAUGUUGCAAUGCGGGAUUUCAAAGAUAAUUGUGAGCAAUUGAUAACCCGGUUACCACGGUAUGUAUAUUUUGGAUCACAAAUCCAACAUAUAGGGGCCAUAACUGUUAUAUAACUUAUAGAACAUGGGUAAUUUGAUUUACACUUAUUUCAAUGUUCGUAUAUUUAUAUUUUUGUCUUUGCUACGACCAUGUAUGUAGGUCGAUGGUGUUGGAGACGUCCAGCCUGAUGAGAUUGUAACCUCUGACAUUCCUGAACCCAAUGCUGUAAUUUCUGCUGGCGAAGAUAUUAUCGAUCCCAAAAAUCUGACUAUAAACUCGGAGGAGCAAGCCAAAGUGGAACAUGUUCAGAGGAGGGUGAGCAAGCGUCAGAGGACUGUAUCGACUCGAUUAGAUAGUCCUUUUCGAUGCGAGAAGCGUAUCAGAACUAUUAUAGAGAAUUCCGAAGCUGUCAAUGAUUCUGAGAAAGCCCUUCAAUAACGGUUUGAUAAAGCUAUGAAAGCAUUUAAGAAGUUAGUUAACUUCUGUUCCUCUAGUUAUAAAGAUUGUACGCUGAAUUGUGUAUUUAAAAAUUUGUUGGCCUCUGGCAUGUGGGGAAGGAAACCUUCUUACAUCGAAGGACCUAAACGAAAUGCUGGGGAGACAGAAACCAAUGCCUGCAAAGGUUUUCACUGAGAUUCUGUAACAAAGGUCUAUUAGCUGCUAACUUUAUUAAAUGCUAACCUAUUGCUUUCGUAUUUGAUUUAACCCAGGUUAUGGAUUCUCUAUGUUUGUUGGGGAGGCAUAUACUCCGCGAAGACAGUCGGCAGCCGAGAGUGGAUAUUUUGGAUUCGAAGUUUGUAUCGAUGUUAACCAAGUUAUACCCGAAGUUUAGCAGGACAGAUCCCCGAGCUGACUUUAAGUUUUCCAAAGCCGUCACCGAGAGACUAAAAGGUGUUGGGGAAGUUGAUCGGUUGCCGCUUUUCUCGGAUGCUGAUAUUCUCUAUCUGCCGUUUAAUCUCGAUAUCAAGCAUUGGGUAUUUCUUGUGGUUCAUCUCUCUACUUGCAAGAUUGAGGUUUUGGACUGUAACGCCAAUCUGCGUACGGAUGCAAGCAUGACUACUGAAAUCCGACCCAUCGCUGAAAUGCUUCCCUGUUUGUUUAUAGAGGUUGCAGAUAACGAAAAGAUGUCUCAGUUGUCUACUACCAAAUAUGAUAUUGAAAGGAUCACUGACGUACCACAGAUAAAGUCAACAAACGAUGAUGGUUUAGUGGCGUACUUCUUAAUGUUAUCUCAUGCCCUUUUCAGCAGAGAGGGUUCUAAGGAGUUCGACCUUACGCACAUUGACUUGGAGGCGAAGAAAGUCGUUACAGUUCUUAUUGAGCAAUACCUAUGAACUUUUAAGGAUUGUUGUUAGUCUUUGGGGACUUCGGUUUUCAUUUUCCUAGAGUUGCGGUGGAUAGACUUCUAUUUACUUUUCGGUUUAGAAACCCGCGUUACGUUGUUGUAUUGUCAGACAAAUUUUAUUUCGUUAUCUGGUUUAUCUUCUAAUUCGGAUUCAAUUUUAUUACGUAUUGGCCAAAAACAUCGUUAAUAGAUAUUUCUAUGGGUUAGAAAUUGCUUUAGGUUUAUUAAGUAAUAACUAAGUCAUCAGUUAAUGAAUACGAAUUACCAAGCAAUUUGUUAUCAACGUUAACGUGUAACCCAAAUAUUAACGGCUAACGUUUGCUUUUAUACGGGAUGACCCAUGUUUGAUUAAUGUUAACAUUUUAUGAUUUAGGGUUUAGGGUUUAGGGUUUAGAAUUUAGGGGUUAGGGUUAGGGUUUCCGCAAUAGGAAAUUGGGUUAAGGGUUUAGGGUUUAGGGUUUGGCUUUAUUUGGGUUCACCAUAUUCGAUAAGGUUUUAAGUUUUUGUUAGUCAGUAAGUAACUGAUUGAAUGCAAAAUAAUAUUUAACUUGGAGUUAGGGUUUACCAUUGAAUCAUUUGGGUUCCCCUAUUUCGAUUAGGUUUUUACUUUAACCGAAACCCGACGCUGAUAUACAUAUUAGGGUGUAAUCAAAUUAUAGGACAUUUCGUGUUAGGGGGUAUCUUUUGGAUUGACGUAUUUUGCUUAGAGUUUUAGUUUUACUUCAAGGGUUUAAAUAUAGACACUAGGGUUUAACCAAGUUAUAGUCAAAUUGGGUUUAGGGUGUAUUUUUGGAACAUUUGGGUUGACCUAUUUCGAUUAGGGUUUUAGUUUUACUCACAGCCGAAAGAGAUCUACACAUUAGAGUGUAACCAAGUUAUCGAAAUAUUGGUGUUAGGGGGUAUAUUUGGAUCAUUUGGGUUGACUAUUUCGAUUAGGGUUUAGUUUAGGGUGACUUAGAUACUCAUAUAACACAUAAACUUAAGUGACAGCCGAAAAAAAUAUACACACUAGGGUGUAUCUAAGUUAUAGUGUAAUUUGGUUUAGGGGGUAUCUUUGGAACAUUUGGGUUGAACAAAUUCGAUUAGGGUUUUAGUGUUACUCACAUUCGAAAGAGAUAUAUACAUUAUAGUGUAACCUAGUUAUACGAUAAGUGGUGUUAGGGGGUAUCUUUGGUUCAUUUGGGUUGACCUAUUUCGAUUAGGGUUUUAGUUAUACUCACAGCCGAAAGAGAUAUACACAUAAGAGUGUAACCAAGUUAUAGGAUAAGUGGUGUUAGGGGGUAUCUUUGGAUCAUUUGGGUUGACCUAUUUCGAUUAAGGUUUAGUUUAAGUGAAAGCCAAGAAGAUAUACAUGUUAGAGUGUAACCAAGGUAUAGUUAGGGUUUAGGUCGCGUAAUAACAGAAAAUAAGUAGUUCAUUAAAAGAUGCUCGGAGUUAGCUGGUACAUACGUUAUCCGCGAUAGUACAUAGUCGUCUUUAAACAUUAUUAAACUCGACGACAAACUACUACACCAUUCAAGACUUAUCAUACAUAUUGAAAUUAAGAGAUAACCCCUAACAUUCUAUUCCUUUGGACAACAAAAUGUGGAUAGAAUGAUAUGCAUCCAGCCGCCAAAAAUAAACCCCUUCCUUAGCACCAUUUUCUGACUAUUCUCCCUGUAUAAAAAGAGUAAAAAUUACAGAGUCACCAUAAUAUGUUAAUUGUUUAGAAGAAGAUGGUUUAUACCGGUAAUGGGGUCUUGCAGGUUGAACGGUUGUGUCUACGUCCUCGGCAUCUUGUGCAUUUUCUUCUGGAAACUCGCUGAGGUUUACAGGUAUAGGAAGUUAUGCGCUAAUCGAGUUACCGAUUACAUACUUCCUACUGAUUUAAAGAGGUAAAGUAUUUUGUACCUUGAAUUCUCCACGAGACAAUAUUCUCUGCUUUCGUGGCUUGCCUGGGGGUCGACGAACCGCUGGAGGUGCAAGUUUUCCUCCACCGACAUCUUCCGGUCGUGGAGCCAAAUGAUCCAUAUCAGGGACUGGCAUUAUAACCUUACCAUAUGCCAACCUGCGAUACUGAGUGGAGUAGUGUAUAUCGACCAAGCUAUCGACACGGACUCCCUCUUUUAUUGCCGCAGCUAUGGCAUGGCAACAUGGUAUGUGUAGAAGUUGGAAUUCCCUGCAACUACAACUCUGUUCCCACAUGGAUACUGCAAAAGCUGUAUCCAUCUCGUCAUGCACCUCGUAUAGUCCAUUUCCUGUAAUGUAAAAUUAGUGUUAGCAGAUAAAGACUACCGUCAACUGUAAAUGUUAACAGGUAAACAAUAUAUCUCAUAUCUUACCUAUUUUCAUGACGAAAUAUCCUGAAGACUUCUGAAAACUUUCAAUCAGCAUCUCUUGAAUCUUGGGAUUCACGACGUCAGUCUCAGUGUUUGCAGAAUCCCUUCUUAUCGCAAACCAAGAUACAAGUGUCGUUCUUAUAGUUUCCAAUAUAGAAAUGAUGGGGUACUCUCUUACCAUUGUCAUGACCUUGUUCAAAGAUUCAGAUAUGUUGCUCGUCAUCACAUUAUAGCGUUCCCCUACGAAAUGCGAUCUCGUCCAAUGCUCAAAACCAAUCCUCUGUAAAUAGUCCGCACACCUCUCGUCGAUCGCUUUAAUUUCCAUAAAUGCCUUCUCGAAAUCGCUAAAACGAUACGCCCUUCCAGCUACAGAAGUAAGAUGACUCAGAUGCUCCGAUUUGAAAUUAGUAACUACAUUUCGUUGUAAGUGAACAAUGCAUGCUCCAUGUGAAGACAUCGGGUACACCUGUUGGAGUCGAGAAAUGGAAACAGUUAGCAAGUUAACCAAUUAUUUAGCGACAUAUUUUGGUUUAUCACUAAUAGAUAUAAAUAUACGGUAACCCUGGAGUUUAGGCGCUAACCUUACGAAUGCUUGCAUAUAUGGAAGCAUGCCGAUCUGAGACGAAGACAAGGUCAUGUUCGUCUGGCACUAUUGCGGUCAGCUUUCUUAGGAACCAUUCCCAAGAGUCGUCGUUUUCACUGUUCACGAUCCCAAAGCCGAGAGGGAAGACUUGGAAGUUACCGUCUUGAGCACUUGCCGCCAUGAGACACCCACCAUAUCGUCCGGUUAAGUGUGUAGCAUCAAAGACAAUAACCUUCCUCAUGUACCUAUAUCCCUGAGCGCACGCAUGUAACGAGUAAAAUAGAUACUUGAAACGGACAACCCCUGAGGCUGAGGUUUCUGUCUCCAAAGCAACAACAGAAUUAGGGUGUGUCGUUAGUAGUUUUUCAAAGUAGGGGGUCACCAACGCAAAGCUUGCUGCAGCACCGCCUAAGGCGUUGUCCAAUGCGAUCUCUCUUGCUCUCCACGCCUUCCAAUAGCUGACGUGCAAGCUGUACUCUUGUCAAAGCAGACGGCGAAGAUCACACGCCCUUGGCCCCUUUAUGUUCAACCCAUAUCUUUCACGAACCAUUUUUCCAAUAACAUCCGUUGAAGCUACUCGGUGGAAAUCACCUCGGGCGUCGACGCUGCAGGUGUGAUUCCUGAUCACAGUUUUGACUUCAAAGCGUAAGCUGUCUUUUAUCUGUGUGGCAUAAAUCCUCCAAGGACAUGUCGGGCCAACGCAACAAACAAUGACGUUCUCAGGUUGUGAAUUGACGGUCUUGAAAUGAAACCUUCGAUUUAUUGCAUGCAGCGCGAGUUUCAACUUGCACUCUUCUUUCGUCUCAAAGAUUCUUCCAACGAAAAUGUCAUCUCCCUCGUACUGUGCAUCACCCAACCCUCUCGCUAUUUCAUCCGCUAACCAGUGUAAACAUUUAACCCAAUUAGCUAGAUAGCAUUUACAAUUCAUGUAAACUUGAAACAGACAUAAAUAUUGUUUACCUCCGAUAAUUGGGUCAUCGAAAUAUGGAGGUGCAUCCCUUUCGUGCAACGCUGGCUCUACUCUUGGUUCAGCGCCAACAGCUGGGGUGUGAAGCAAUAUUGGGGGAUUACCGGACAAUGACACGGGGGGGGGUAGGCAAACUGUGGUGUGUUUGCAGUUAAAGUUUGAUGUGUAGCCGGUAACUGUGAGAUGUUAGAUGCUACAUCGUUUCCUAUUGCUCCUAAUGGAUAAAUGUUAGUCGCUAGCAAAGCUCGACUCGGCCUUGAUGACCCACCAACUUCACGAGAUAGUAUUCCGUCUUCGGUCAUCACUCGUUUCUCUUUAUCGGCACCCGUAUUCUGCACAUCAACAGUCUGUUGCUCCAGAGCCGGUGCUUGAAGCAUUGGAUCUGGUUCCGGGUUGUCGUACAAAUGUGCGAUCAGAUCCUCUCCUGAAAUGGUACAUGACAAUAUAACAAUAUCAGGCAAUGUAGGAAAUAUUUACUACUAAUUUUUGUUUGAAAAUUAUGGCUGUUUUCAUACCUAUGAGUGACAUGCGGAUAUCAACCUCCUCCGCCGACAGAAGCUCUUCCUCAGAGAAUACAUGGCUGCUUGAUGAAGGCGUGGUAGAAGUCGAGGAAGAUGAAGACUCUACAACCGCUAUUGCCGUUUGUGUUGGUAUAACACAGUCUUCAGGUUCAUCAUCGAUGUAUGCACAGCUAAAGUUAGCUGAAGCCCUGGUUCGCGGCAAGCUGUUUGGAUCGUAGAGUUCUUUGGUGGUGCAUCAAUAUCCAUAUCUACAACUUUGUUUGUUACAGUGUUAACAGCAUCGUUAACUAUUUCCUCAGCAGCCCUCCCAAAUGGUCCUGGUGGUCCAUGAAAGAAACGCCAGAGCUCUGAUAGAUCUCGAGGGAGGAUAGUUUCUUGUUCUCGGCAUUCAAGAGUUGCGGCCGUUGAGAGUUCAACCAUAAUAUCUGAAACCAUUCAUAAAAAAAAAAGGAUAUGUAAGUUUCAUAUUACUGAAAGUAGUGUUUUGAUAAAGGGUGGUAAUGCGAUACCUUUUCCUUUUGACGAAGGGUUGGUAUAAGCAGCAAUUGUAGCCGAGCGGGCAACGUGUGUGAUAGUUAUACCUCGCUCACCACUAUUAGGAAAAGAGGUGUAGGAAAAAACUGGCCUCACAGGUGUGUUUACAUUACUUGGAAAACCUGUUCAAUGUUGUAGUAGAAAGACUUUUUAGUGACAAUAUUAUCCAUGAAUGUUAUUUAUUUUCUUCAGAGAUAUAGUGGAAUACCACUUAAAGGUGGUAGAACUGUCCUUGGACUGUCUGUUGGUGAUGAUGUCGAGGAGUAUUGCGCACCAUAAGGAACAAUGGACAUUUCACUUAGUAGUUGGUCCCGUGCGCUUUCUUUUUGCUUUAAUAAAANNNNNNNNNNNNNNNNNNNNNNNNNNNNNNNNNNNNNNNNNNNNNNNNNNNNNNNNNNNNNNNNNNNNNNNNNNNNNNNNNNNNNNNNNNNNNNNNNNNNUAAGUUAGCGUUUAAAUCAAGUGUUUCUGCAUUCAUAUUUCCAGUAAUUUUCGGACUGUCACGGUGAACCCUAACUCUAAGGAACACCUCAUCUAUGUCUGCCUUGAUCGCUAAAAAUAGAGCAGUAUCUUCAUCAUUCAAAAUGAGGAUAGGUGCUGCUUUACGCCAAUCAGGUCCCAGGAUCCAUCUCGGCCAAACGUAUGUCACCUCGACCUUGUCUUCCUCCACCAGUUUCAAACCGAUUUUGAUUACAUUUGUCAUCGAUUAGAAAGACUCUCUCUCGUUCAUUUCGACCGAUGCGUGUAUGCCGAUUUCGUCUGGUUCAUGGAUCCAACUCGCAUCACUUUGUUUUUUCCACACCCCUCGAAUUACGGAGACAUGUAGAGUCAUCGCACCUAAUUAUGUGAACAGAAAAGGUGAUGAUUAGAUAACUGAGAUAUCGAGAUUUGACGAUACUUUUGACAUUAUACAUAACCUGGUUAUAUGUAAGUUCGAAAAAACAGGGAUAACUAAGGAAAAAUACAGAGAAGUUACCAGCUGUAAUCGGAAAUCCAAGACCUUCCACCCUUAUUCAAUGUCCUCCAGAACCUGUUACAGAAGAAAACGAGGUUGCUCUGUAAUAAAUGAAGUAAAGAGUUGUGUUUCACUUUCAUUAACGCCGAUGCUUUAAAUAGAGGUCUAACUAAUAUUAAAAUAAUUGUUAUCGAUUAAACGUCACUAUUAGAGACAUUAGCGGCCAUGCAAUAAUUAGAUAUUGGGAAGAGAAGAAAUCCUUGUGUCAGGCGGCGGAUUUUCUCCAAAUAAACCUGCAGAAUCAGAACAUUAAAUGCUAUGUCGGGUAAGUAUAGCCUCCCAAAAUAUCGCUGGCCUUUUUGAGUAGGGGCAAAUCGGGGAACGAAAAAUUUUGUCCACAAUCUCUUCCCAAUUUAUUUUUAUAGUUACGUACAAACCUAAUUAUCUCCUCAAUUGUUAGUUUAUACCCAAGUCACCCAAAAAAAAAACCCUAAUUCAUCUUCUUCUCUCUCUCUUUCUCCUGCGCCGUUUUUUUUUCUCCCAUGGAGCUGCUCUUCUUCAUAACUUGGCAGCCUCCCUUUUUUCACAGCUUUCUCUUCACAGCUUUCCUUUUGUUUCACAGAUCCACACAGUUCUUGCCUCAAUCGCCGUUCAGAAACUUGUUCAGGUUUGUUUUUUUUCUUAUAUAUCCUCAUUUUUCUUAUUUUUUCUUCUUUCUUCUUCGUCUUCCUCUUUCCCUUCAUCUUCUACUUUCUGUUUGGCGGAGGAGGAGUUUUACUGUUGGUGUUAGAGAUUUCGGAAAUAUUGGCACGACUCUUAAGCGGCGUUCUCGCCGCAUCGCGCACAACCGCACUGGACAGAUGUUGUUUCGAAGAAAUGGUGGUGUCACGGAGGUUGACGGCGGUGUAAGUUUUUUUCUGUAAAACCCGCAACCCUAAUUUUUUUUGUUUCAGGUAAGUUUGGUAGAUAUAUUUGGAAAACGAUAAGUAGUUUGGUAGAUUUAUUGUAUUUUUUUGUUGUAAAGUUCAUAAUAUGUGAAAAUUAGUUUUUUUUAACAAAGGCAAAAAGAGUGUUUUGGGUAUGCUAGGUUAGUUUUGUAAAAAAAAUAAAAGUGCGCAAAACAAAUAAUAUAGAUACUUUCUAAAGUUAGUGUAGUAAUCCUUCCAUAAAUCAAUGGUCAAGUAUCCUUCUUUUUUUUUUUUGAACAUCAGUCGAGUAUUCUUCAAGAAAGCUCCAACACGUCUUGCCUCAUAUCAAUAUGGCACCAACGGCUAGUUUAUGUGUCCCAAAUCCAAGAAUCUCUAUGUAAAUUCUUGGAUCUCAUUCUUUUAUUCAAAAAUUUAAUAAUUUCAAAGAAAUUUAAAAAAUCAUCUAUUUUCUGCUUGUAGUUUUGUUUGGAUUUAGCACAUAGUACUUAGUGUGGAUUCCCAUUGCCUUUAUCACAGAUCAUUUUCAAAACUUCAAUCCAUAUCCAUCUUCUGUAUCAUUUUUUGUAUGGAUAAUCCUUGAAAGACCUUUUGGGUUAAAGAUUUCUUCUAACUUGGUCUAUCCCGUGAAUCCAUCGCUACCUUGUGUUUACAUCACUUUAUAUAUAAUAAUUAAGUCUCAUCUUCUUUCAAAUGUUUGAUUCCUUAGUCAUAUAUAAUGGUUUGUGCUGGUUUAUCAACAAUUUAUGAUGAAAUCACACAAAAAAAAAAAUUAUGAUGAAAUCGUUUGUGUUCUAUUAAUAUCUUUUUAAAACUCAAAUUGUUUUUCUUUCUUUUUGUGUAUGGAAUAUGAUAUAUUCUCUCAGUAGAAUCAAAGUUAUGGUAAGAUGAAUGUUUAAUUACUGAAUUCGACCGAGAUACAAAGAUUUCAUUUGAAGCUUUGUAAACACUAAGAACAAAAAUGAAAAAAAAAAGCACUCUAUGCGAACAAGGAUAUGCAAAAAAUGAAAUUCAAUCCUUUAAGAAGAUACUAUGAUCUAGCUAGGUCGAUAUCUCAGUGCACCAACCUAAAAUAGAUUGUGAGAAAAACCCUUUCAUUACAAGUCUUAGUUAAACCAACUCUCACCACUCAUGACCGCGUCAUAACGCCACCACCAUCCCCACCCGAACGCAAACGCGAACCACGUCCACUCCUCUUCAUAAGUUAACGUUUGCGGCCAAUCCUCGACCAACCCUGAAAAGGGCAUUUCCGUCUUUUCCUCCAAAUUCUUCACCGCAACAUCAUCCUUCUUCUCCACUUUUUCCUUUUCAAGAACCCUAGCAACAACACUUUUUGGAUCAUCUAGCUUCUCUUCGUUCUUUCUCAUCGACUUCAUGAUCAUCAUCGGUUUCUUAUGUUUAGGAAGAUAUUUCAUGCUCUCUUUGUGAACGUUCAUUCGAGCUUUCGCGGUCAUUCUCGCGUGUUUUGAAUGAUCCUUUCGAGUUUCCUCUCCUUUUCUUGAUUUAUUUCUCUCUUUGCCUUCAUACACCGAGCUUACUCGAGCUUUCUUCAUAGAAUCCACGUGCAUUCAUCACAUUUUAACACUAGUGUUUUAUACUUUAGAUAACUAAGGUAAUACUCAAAAGUUAUUUCCGUUUAUAAAACGCGUAGUCAGCAUCGAUAGAUUACUUGUUGUGCGUACACGUAUGAGUCUUCAACGACUUUGCUUUUUUUUUUUUCAAAAGAGCUCAAAAACUAUAAUGGUGAGAGCAAUGAAUCGAACACAAAAAAUAGAGAGAAAUUAAAAGCAUUAAAGAAUCGAGCACAAAUUUUCAACAGAAGAAAAAGAAUCGAACACAAAAAAAGGAAA